Molecule: long non-coding RNA, 476 nt
Organism: Brassica napus (rape)
Lineage: Eukaryota; Viridiplantae; Streptophyta; Magnoliopsida; Brassicales; Brassicaceae
Exons: 3
Source: RefSeq, a predicted model, not a curated record
GCCUGGAAGCUAUCGAAACUCUUCCGUCUUUUGCUGUUUCCUUAUUGAUAAAAAGGAUCAUGCUUUGAUUUGAUUCUCUAACUUGCUGACUUAUUCUUUGAUGGCUCAUGGACCUUUUGCUUUGGAUCUUGUUCCAUUCCCAAAGAACAUCAUCCUUUUUGCCUCUUUCAUCCUCUUUGGUUCUUCCUUGAAGUCUGUUGAGUCACGGUUUGAUUGAUCCAACCUCAACAUCGUUGUGUUGACUUUUUUGCCAAGGGAAGGAGAAAAACAUUGUUGUACGACUCCGAUUAUCGAGGCUAGGAUGCAAAAAUUGACCAUUUUUCCGGGUAAUGGCAGCUUAUAGCAGAUCUCCCAGAGACGGGAAGCACAUCGAGGUUUUGUGUUACUUCAAUCAUCUCCCAGGACAGGACGGUGGUAAGAGAAUGGGUCUCAAGUUUGACCAUAUCAAGUUCCCUUCUCUUUCUUUCCUCUAACGU